GCCUAACACAUGCAAGUCGAACGGUAACAGGAAGCAGCUUGCUGCUUCGCUGACGAGUGGCGGACGGGUGAGUAAUGUCUGGGAAACUGCCUGAUGGAGGGGGAUAACUACUGGAAACGGUAGCUAAUACCGCAUAACGUCGCAAGACCAAAGAGGGGGACCUUCGGGCCUCUUGCCAUCGGAUGUGCCCAGAUGGGAUUAGCUAGUAGGUGGGGUAACGGCUCACCUAGGCGACGAUCCCUAGCUGGUCUGAGAGGAUGACCAGCCACACUGGAACUGAGACACGGUCCAGACUCCUACGGGAGGCAGCAGUGGGGAAUAUUGCACAAUGGGCGCAAGCCUGAUGCAGCCAUGCCGCGUGUAUGAAGAAGGCCUUCGGGUUGUAAAGUACUUUCAGCGGGGAGGAAGGCGAUAAGGUUAAUAACCUUGUCGAUUGACGUUACCCGCAGAAGAAGCACCGGCUAACUCCGUGCCAGCAGCCGCGGUAAUACGGAGGGUGCAAGCGUUAAUCGGAAUUACUGGGCGUAAAGCGCACGCAGGCGGUCUGUCAAGUCGGAUGUGAAAUCCCCGGGCUCAACCUGGGAACUGCAUUCGAAACUGGCAGGCUAGAGUCUUGUAGAGGGGGGUAGAAUUCCAGGUGUAGCGGUGAAAUGCGUAGAGAUCUGGAGGAAUACCCGGUG
This 680-nucleotide ribosomal RNA is filed under the name Enterobacter hormaechei. Its description in RNAcentral is "bacterial SSU rRNA". It matches the Rfam family "Bacterial small subunit ribosomal RNA", at positions 46 to 715 of the family's 1533-position model. Lineage: Bacteria; Pseudomonadati; Pseudomonadota; Gammaproteobacteria; Enterobacterales; Enterobacteriaceae. The record is from RNAcentral.